GCUUUCGUAGAUCAGCGCCAGAUCACCUUGUCCUGGUCCGGAGUUGUGUAGACAUUAUUGAUGUGAAGGAGAUGCGGGUUCAACUCCCGCCGAAGGCA
Molecule: non-coding RNA, 98 nt
Organism: Mycena polygramma
Lineage: Eukaryota; Fungi; Basidiomycota; Agaricomycetes; Agaricales; Mycenaceae
Source: the annotation of a GenBank genome assembly